UACGGGGGGGGCAAGCGUUGUUCGGAAUUACUGGGCGUAAAGGGCGCGUAGGCGGCAAUUCAAGUCAGCUGUGAAAUCUCCGGGCUUAACUCGGAACGGUCAGCUGAUACUGCUUUGCUAGAGUGCAGAAGGGGCAAUCGGAAUUCUUGGUGUAGCGGUGAAAUGCGUAGAUAUCAAGAGGAACACCUGAGGUGAAGACGGGUUGCUGGGCUGACACUGACGCUGAUGCGCGAAAGCCAGGGGAGCAAACGGG
Molecule: ribosomal RNA, 253 nt
Filed under: uncultured bacterium
Lineage: Bacteria
Description: partial 16S ribosomal RNA
Rfam family: Bacterial small subunit ribosomal RNA
Source: RNAcentral